AGUAACACGUGGAUAACCUACCUAUAAGACUGGGAUAACUUCGGGAAACCGGAGCUAAUACCGGAUAACAUGUUGAACCGCAUGGUUCAACAGUGAAAGACGGUCUUGCUGUCACUUAUAGAUGGAUCCGCGCCGCAUUAGCUAGUUGGUAAGGUAACGGCUUACCAAGGCAACGAUGCAUAGCCGACCUGAGAGGGUGAUCGGCCACACUGGAACUGAUACACGGUCCAG
RNAcentral lists this ribosomal RNA (231 nucleotides) under uncultured Staphylococcus sp. RNAcentral describes it as "partial 16S ribosomal RNA". It matches the Rfam family "Bacterial small subunit ribosomal RNA", at positions 109 to 334 of the family's 1533-position model. Lineage: Bacteria; Bacillati; Bacillota; Bacilli; Caryophanales; Staphylococcaceae. The record is from RNAcentral.